CCCUUAGAUGUUCUGGGCCGCACACGCGCUACACUGAAGGAGGCAGCGUGUACUCCUGGAUCGAAAGAUUUGGGUAACCCGCGAAUCUCCUUCGUGCUAGGGAUUGAGGUUUGCAAUUAUCCUUCAUGAACGAGGAAUUCCCAGUAAGUGCAAGUCAUAAGCUUGCGCUGACUACGUCCCUGCCCUUUGUACACACCGCCCGUCGCUACUACCGAUUGAAUGAUUUAGUGAGGACUUCGGACUGGGACCGAUGCGGCUUUCGGGCUGCGUCGGUAUUCUGGAAAGAUGUCCAAACUGUAUCAUUUAGAGGAAGUAAAAGUCAUANCA
RNAcentral lists this ribosomal RNA (327 nucleotides) under uncultured eukaryote. RNAcentral's name for it is "partial 18S ribosomal RNA". It matches the Rfam family "Eukaryotic small subunit ribosomal RNA", at positions 1470 to 1796 of the family's 1831-position model. The record is from RNAcentral.